GUGCCAGCAGCCGCGGUAAUACGAAGGGGGCUAGCGUUGUUCGGAAUUACUGGGCGUAAAGCGCACGCAGGCGGCUCGAUAAAUUAGAAGUGAAAGCCCCGGGCUUAACCUGGGAAUUGCUUUUAAGACUGUCGAGCUAGAAUCCAGAAGAGGGUAGUGGAAUUCCGAGUGUAGAGGUGAAAUUCGUAGAUAUUCGGAAGAACACCAGUGGCGAAGGCGACUACCUGGUCUGGCAUUGACGCUCAUGUGCGAAAGCGUGGGGAGCAAACAGGAUUAGAUACCCUGGUAGUCC
This 292-nucleotide ribosomal RNA is filed under the name uncultured bacterium. RNAcentral's name for it is "partial 16S ribosomal RNA". It matches the Rfam family "Bacterial small subunit ribosomal RNA", at positions 505 to 796 of the family's 1533-position model. The record is from RNAcentral.